Molecule: ribosomal RNA, 1339 nt
Filed under: uncultured bacterium
Lineage: Bacteria
Description: bacterial SSU rRNA
Rfam family: Bacterial small subunit ribosomal RNA
Source: RNAcentral
GACGAACGCUGGCGGCGUGCUUAACACAUGCAAGUCGAACGGAAAGGCCCUAGCUUGCUAGGGUGCUCGAGUGGCGAACGGGUGAGUAACACGUGGGUGAUCUGCCUUGUACUCUGGGAUAAGCUUGGGAAACUGGGUCUAAUACCGGAUAGGAACUGCCUUUAGUGUGGUGGUUGGAAAGUUUUUUCGGUGCAAGAUGAGCUCGCGGCCUAUCAGCUUGUUGGUGGGGUAAUGGCCUACCAAGGCGUCGACGGGUAGCCGGCCUGAGAGGGUGUACGGCCACAUUGGGACUGAGAUACGGCCCAGACUCCUACGGGAGGCAGCAGUGGGGAAUAUUGCACAAUGGGCGGAAGCCUGAUGCAGCGACGCCGCGUGGGGGAUGACGGCCUUCGGGUUGUAAACUCCUUUCGACAGGGACGAAGCGCAAGUGACGGUACCUGUAUAAGAAGCACCGGCUAACUACGUGCCAGCAGCCGCGGUAAUACGUAGGGUGCGAGCGUUGUCCGGAAUUACUGGGCGUAAAGAGCUCGUAGGUGGUUUGUCGCGUCGUCUGUGAAAUUCCGGGGCUUAACUCCGGGCGUGCAGGCGAUACGGGCAUAACUUGAGUGCUGUAGGGGAGACUGGAAUUCCUGGUGUAGCGGUGAAAUGCGCAGAUAUCAGGAGGAACACCGAUGGCGAAGGCAGGUCUCUGGGCAGUUACUGACGCUGAGGAGCGAAAGCAUGGGUAGCGAACAGGAUUAGAUACCCUGGUAGUCCAUGCCGUAAACGGUGGGCGCUAGGUGUAGGGGGCUUCCACGUCUUCUGUGCCGUAGCUAACGCAUUAAGCGCCCCGCCUGGGGAGUACGGCCGCAAGGCUAAAACUCAAAGGAAUUGACGGGGGCCCGCACAAGCGGCGGAGCAUGUGGAUUAAUUCGAUGCAACGCGAAGAACCUUACCUGGGCUUGACAUACACCAGAUCGCUGCAGAGAUGUAGUUUCCCUUGUGGUUGGUGUACAGGUGGUGCAUGGUUGUCGUCAGCUCGUGUCGUGAGAUGUUGGGUUAAGUCCCGCAACGAGCGCAACCCUUGUCUUAUGUUGCCAGCAUUUGGUUGGGGACUCAUGAGAGACUGCCGGGGUUAACUCGGAGGAAGGUGGGGAUGACGUCAAAUCAUCAUGCCCCUUAUGUCCAGGGCUUCACACAUGCUACAAUGGUCGGUACAACGCGCAGCGACAUUGUGAGGUGGAGCGAAUCGCUGAAAGCCGGUCUUAGUUCGGAUUGGGGUCUGCAACUCGACCCCAUGAAGUCGGAGUCGCUAGUAAUCGUAGAUCAGCAAUGCUGCGGUGAAUACGUUCCCGGGCCU